This 505-nucleotide ribosomal RNA is filed under the name Macromia taeniolata. RNAcentral describes it as "partial 16S ribosomal RNA". The record is from RNAcentral. Lineage: Eukaryota; Metazoa; Arthropoda; Insecta; Odonata; Macromiidae.
UCUCGAUUUCAGAAGAGCUAUGUUAAUAAUUCAGUUAAUGUGGAAUAAUUAUUGAUAAUAUAACAUAGGUGGGAUAUCUAAUUCGUUUUUGAAGGUAUCUGGUUUCUUAAUAAUUAAAUUUAAUUUAUUCUUUAUAUUAAAUAUCUUAUUUUUGAGGGUUUUAUAUGUAAAGUUAAAUAUUAUAGGGGAUAAGCUCUGUAUUAUUUCUAUAAUUGUUGUUUAUUUCAUUUUUUGUAGGGUUAUAAUUAUCCAUCAUUAUAAGUGUGUUAUAAUUUAGAUUGUAUUUAAUAUGAUUUUUUUAUAUUUAGUAUUUUAUUAAGAAUAGAGAGUGAAUUUUUUGUUCUGUGAAAUAAUGAUUAAAUUAGUAUAUUUAAUUUGUUUAUAAUAAAUUUAAUGAGAGGAUAAAAUAAGGAAUUCGGCAAAAUAAUUCUCGCCUGUUUAUCAAAAACAUGGCCUCUUGUCUAUUAAUAAGAGGUUGGACCUGCCCAGUSAAUKUUYAACGCGC